Pseudopipra pipra is the source of this 2163-nucleotide long non-coding RNA. RefSeq lists it as uncharacterized. The record is from RefSeq and is a predicted model, not a curated record. NCBI's taxonomy places the organism in Eukaryota, Metazoa, Chordata, Aves, Passeriformes, Pipridae. The transcript has 2 exons.
AGGAGGGCAUGGUGACUUUCAGCAUGCCGGGACGCCUGACGGGGGCUGUCCCCUCCUCCGCACCGGCUGCGGAGCGCGGAGCGCCCGGUGGGGCGGCGGGGCGGGACCAGGGCGGGACUGAGACCGCCCCGGGUGGGGGUCGCACCGCCCUCGGAUCCUGCCCGUCCCCUCCGAGCCCCGGGCGAUCCCUUCCCGCAGGGAGCGACCCCUGAGGCCCGCCAAAGACGGUGGGAUUCUCGCGAGUUCCCGGCAGAGGCACCGGGAGUUCCCCGAGCCCCUGGAGCAGGAGGACCCGGCUCCGCGGAGGACAACUACACGGAUGGAGAAACCGCAUCCCGAUCCGGAGGGGAGGGAUGCUCAGCCCGCAGCGAGGCGGCCCGCCAUGCCGCAACAUUCCCGGCAGCUCUCUAACCGCCGGAGUUCAGGAAUUCUCUCUCUCACCGUGAAUUUGGGGAGGAGGGUGUUGGGGACAGAGAAUGAACAAGACAAACCAACGAUGGGAAAGAGGCUGACAAAUGCUCGAACAUGACUGCAAAAAUAAUAAUAAAAAACCCAACACAUAGCUUCCCUUCCCACCGGCGAACUAAAAGAAGCCGUAGAGAAAUAAGAUUGCUGUGCUACAAUGCAGCUCUUAACAGGUAUCUGUUAAGAUGGCAUGCAUUCGGUUUGUACUAAUGCAUGCUGCACUGCUGAAUGCAAAAUCCUUCGCCAGAAGCGCCUAUGGAAGGGCCGUUUCUGUUGGUGUAGUGGCGAAAUAAAACAGCAGCAGCUGUGUGUGCCUCGCAUGCAUAGUGUGCCAGAUCAAUCCCACUCGCAUCCUCUCCGUGCUGUUACACCCACUCAUACUGCCAUGCCAGCACAGGCAGGAGGAAAGAUGGACCAUGUGCAAGCCUGUGCAGCAGAAGGGAUGGAAGUAUUGUCCUUAAUUUUCAAACACAAUCCACUAUCCUGUUUUUAAACAUGGUGUUUCUUGCUCAAAUAAAGCACAGAAUCCUGUUUAGUGUUUGUGCUAAUUCAGGUGUACUAAUGUUUUCCAAGAUGUUUUGUUUCCCUCCAUAAACAAGUACAUCUCUUACUGUUUCUUAACUUCUUUACUGUAGCCAGAUGGACCAAUUAAUCUUAUUUCUGAACUUCUUAACUUCUCAAAGACCCUGAAAAAGAAAUGCUUCUCUCUGCUUAAUCAGAUGAUAGAAGAAGUAUCUGCUAAACUGGUCUUUGUUAAUGGUAGGAAAGGAUAAAAGAGGUACAUGAGAUAGAUAAAAGACAGAUGAAGCCCUUUCCUUUGAAGUUUACUUAUUGCCAUUAUAAAAUUAAAAUGUAUAUCCCCAUCAUGAUUUGAGAUUUUAUCAUUUUCAAAUUCAUAUUUGAAAGGCAGGAAAGAGUAACCCAAAGUCCUAAUUUGCAAACGAAGUUCCAUCCAAUCCAGUUUGACAGAAAUUCCAAACUUCUUUUGGGAUGAACUUUGUGCCCAGAGCACCUACGGUUACAGGGCUGAGAUCAGAACCAGAGCAGCAUCUCCUGGGAGAUGGAUGAAGAAAAUCACACACACAGACAAUGGCAAAUCAGCACACUUAGAAGACCACAUGAUAUUUUUGUUUAGUCAAAUACCUAACAUAUUCUGUAACCCAAAUGGCAUGUAUAUUUCUCUUGUGGUAAUGUUUUGUAAAAAUUAUGUUAGUAAGAUUAUGUUUAACCAGGUACAUGCAUUCAGAUUUGCAUCUCAGAUGAUCUAUGUAUGGUUACCAUGAACCUUUAGGUACUCCUUGCUAAAAGACAUAGCACCAAGGGAUUUUUUUUUUUUAACUGGACUACCUAUGUGAAAGGCAUUUCACUUUCCUUAAAACUCUGACUCAAAGUAAGAUGCAUUGCACAAUCUUACCAACCUAGUACUUGAAAACUGACUGGACCUUAUUCUUCAGAAGACCCACUUUCUUCAAAAAUUAAAGUAACAAUAUCCAAAUACGUCCAUAUGGAAUUAAAGAAAAUCUUCAGGCUGAACAAUUCAUCUAACAAGCAUAGAAAUAAAUGCCUCUCAGUCUCCAGGAAACUAAAGGCAGUAUUUCAAAUCCAUGGUGGUCCACUCAGAUCUAUGUGAAGAUUUACAUCAUCAUUAUUGGACAUGAAACUAAAACACUAAUAAAACUAGUUUAUGUUUUUGUGGCA